RNAcentral lists this ribosomal RNA (351 nucleotides) under Pseudomonas aeruginosa. Its description in RNAcentral is "bacterial LSU rRNA". It matches the Rfam family "Bacterial large subunit ribosomal RNA", at positions 195 to 551 of the family's 2925-position model. Lineage: Bacteria; Pseudomonadati; Pseudomonadota; Gammaproteobacteria; Pseudomonadales; Pseudomonadaceae. The record is from RNAcentral.
GAAACAUCUAAGUACCUAGAGGAAGAGAAAGAAAAAUCGAUUUUCUUAGUAGCGGCGAGCGAAAAGGAAAGAGCCCAAACCAGAGAUUUAUCUCUGGGGUUGCGGACAGAACAUAACGUGAAAUUAUGAUUAACCGAACACAACUGGAAAGUUGGACCGUAGGAGGUAAUAGUCCUGUAAGUAAAAGUCAUAAUGAUCAGUUCUGCACCAGAGUACCACGAGACACGUGAAACCUUGUGGGAAGCAGGGAGGACCACCUCCCAAGGCUAAAUACUACCUGAUGACCGAUAGUGAAGCAGUACCGUGAGGGAAAGGUGAAAAGAACCCCGGGAGGGGAGUGAAAUAGAACCU